This 369-nucleotide long non-coding RNA is filed under the name Bemisia tabaci. RNAcentral's name for it is "lncRNA ENSSSA2NGG007072". Lineage: Eukaryota; Metazoa; Arthropoda; Insecta; Hemiptera; Aleyrodidae. The record is from RNAcentral.
AUGGUAGCGGUAGAUAUUGUCUGGACUCAGGAAAGUAAAAAACCUGCUCCUGAAUUAGCUGAAGUGAUCUCUUACAGAAUGAAAGACGAAUAUAUUCUGGUUGCCAACGAGGGUGAAUACGGAAACGUACUGUUUUUUAUAACACCUCUUUGUGUCACCAGCAAAGAUAUUCAAGUAGUCAUCCAAGUUUUCCACAAAAUUGUGACUGAUGUUGAGACCUCCAAUUUAAGUUUAUCAAUGGGCUUCCCAGGAAGUUCGAGUGGUGUAAGCUCUAGUUCCAGUAGUCUUUAUCCAAUGGUUCAAUCAUGGCCAGAGUCAGACGAUAGUGACAGUGCUCUGGAUUCCUACAACUACCACUCCAUGGACUGA